UAAAUACUACCUGAUGACCGAUAGAGGAGCAGUACCGUGAGGGAAAGGUGAAAAGCACCCCGGGAGGGGAGUGAAACAGUACCUGAAACCGUGCGCCCACGAGCAGUCGGAGCACCUUUAUGGUGUGACGGCGUGCCUUUUGUAGAAUGAGCCAGCGAGUCGCUGGCGCGGGGCGAGGUUAACCGAAAGGGAGCCGGAGCGAAAGCGAGCCUUAACAGGGCGACUUGAGUCCCGCGCCGCGGACGCGAAGCCGGGUGAGCUAUCCGUGGGCAGGCUGAAGCGGGGGUAAGACCCCGUGGAGGGCCGAACGCACGUCGGUUGAAAACGGCGGCGAUGACCUGCGGAUAGGGGUGAAAGGCCAAUCAAACCCGGAGAUAUCUCGUUCUCCCCGAAAUAGCUUUAGGGCUAGCGUCGCGCGUUCACCGCCGGAGGUAGAGCACCGGAUGGACGAGGGGGCUUCGCCGCCUACCGAAUCCAACCGAACUCCGAAUGCCGGCGGCCCAGAGCGCGGCAGUCAGAGCAUGUGGGCUAAGCUGUGUGCUCGAGAGGGAAACAGCCCGGACCGCCCGCUAAGGUCCCCAAGUUCCAGCCGAGUGGCAAAGGAUGUGCGUCCGCCCAGACAACCAGGAUGUUGGCUUAGAAGCAGCCAUGCAUUCAAAGAGUGCGUAACAGCUCACUGGUCGAGUGGACAUGCGCCGACAAUACACGGGGCUAAGCUGGACACCGAAGCGGCGGGAUUUUGAUUUUCGGAAUCGGUAGGGGAGCUUCCCAUGGGCGGAGAAGCCGGAGGGCGACCGACGGUGGAGCGCAUGGGAGUGAGAAUGCUGGCAUGAGUAGCGAGAGACGAGAGAGUAACUCGUCCGCCGUGAACCCGAGGUUUCCUGGGCAAGGCUAAUCCUCCCAGGGUCAGUCGGGGGCUAAGGCGAGGCCGGUAGGCGUAGCCGACGCGCAGCAGGCAGACAUUCCUGCACCGCGCACGCGGCGCUACGACCGACGGGGCGACGGAUGGGGGUGGCUCGGCGGGGUUCUGGACGUCCCCGUGAUGGAGCGCGGCCCGCGGACCAGGGAAAUCCGGUCCGCAUCGAGGGCGAGGCUCCGGACGAAGCGACUGAGCGAAGCGAGUGAGCCCGAGGUCCCUAGAAAAACCCCUAGGCAGGCGCGUGCGCGCCCGUACCGCAAACCGACACAGGUGGGUGGGUAGAACAUACCGAGGCGAUCGGGUCAACCAUGGUCAAGGAACUCGGCACAAUGGCCCCGUAACUUCGGGAGAAGGGGUGCCCGCGCGUACGUGAACGGACUUGCUCCGGGAGCGGAGGCGGGCCGCAGUGGAGAGGCCCAAGCGACUGUUUACCAAAAACACAGGACUCUGCAGAAGCCGCAAGGCGACGUAUAGGGUCUGACGCCUGCCCGGUGCCGGAAGGUCACGCGGAGGAGUUAGCCGAUUCGGCGAAGCCCCGAAGCCAAGCCCCGGUAAACGGCGGCCGUAACUAUAACGGUCCUAAGGUAGCGAAAUUCCUUGUCGGGUAAGUUCCGACCUGCACGAAAGGCGCAACGACUUGGGCGCUGUCUCGACCAUGGACCCGGUGAAAUUGCACUGGUCGUGAAGAUGCGACUUACCCGCGGAAGGACGGAAAGACCCCGUGAACCUUCACUGCAGCUUGGCAUUGGCCGCUGGUCCCGCGUGUAGAGGAUAGGCAGGAGGCAUCGAUCCGGAGGCGCCAGCCCCCGGGGAGCCGCCCUUGGAAUACUGCCCUCGCGCGACCGGCGUCCUAACCCGAGGCCGUCAACCGGCUCGGGGACCGUGCCAGGCGGGCAGUUUGACUGGGGCGGUCGCCUCCUAAAGGGUAACGGAGGCGCGCGAAGGUCCGCUCGGGACGGUCGGCAACCGUCCUUUUGAAUGCAAGAGUACAAGCGGGCUUGACUGCGAGGCCCACAAGCCGAGCAGGUGCGAAAGCAGGCUCUAGUGAUCCGGCGGCCCCGAGUGGGUGGGCCGUCGCUCAACGGAUAAAAGGUACUCCGGGGAUAACAGGCUGAUCUUGCCCAAGAGUCCACAUCGACGGCAAGGUUUGGCACCUCGAUGUCGGCUCAUCGCAUCCUGGGGCUGGAGCAGGUCCCAAGGGUACGGCUGUUCGCCGUUUAAAGCGGUACGCGAGCUGGGUUCAGAACGUCGUGAGACAGUUCGGUCCCUAUCCUCCG
Molecule: ribosomal RNA, 2196 nt
Filed under: human metagenome
Description: bacterial LSU rRNA
Rfam family: Bacterial large subunit ribosomal RNA
Source: RNAcentral